This 460-nucleotide ribosomal RNA is filed under the name uncultured bacterium. Its description in RNAcentral is "partial 16S ribosomal RNA". It matches the Rfam family "Bacterial small subunit ribosomal RNA", at positions 338 to 795 of the family's 1533-position model. The record is from RNAcentral.
CCUACGGGAGGCAGCAGUGAGGAAUAUUGGUCAAUGGCCGAGAGGCUGAACCAGCCAAGUCGCGUGAGGGAAGAAGGCCCUACGGGUUGUAAACCUCUUUUGUCGGGGAGCAAAGAGAGUCAAGUGUGACUCAUUGAGAGUACCCGAAGAAAAAGCAUCGGCUAAACCCGUGCCAGCAGCCGCGGUAAUACGGAGUGUGCGAGCGUUAUCCGGAUUGAUUGGGUUUAAAGGGUACGUAGGCGGUUGGAUAAGUUAGAGGUGAAAUACCGGUGCUCAACACCGGAACUGCCUCUAAUAAUGGUGAACUAGAGAGUAGUUGCGGUAGGCGGAAUGUAUGGUGUAGCGGGGAAAUGCUUAGAGAUCAUACAGAACACCGAUUGCGAAGGCAGCUUACCAAACUAUAUCUGACGUUGAGGCACGAAAGCGUGGGUAGCAAACAGGAUUAGAUACCCGUGUAGUC